UCAGGGAUGCGAAGACCAGCCUCCCAAACCCAACCUACCCGCCUGGAACCAGCUGUGGCAGACUAGGCCGUAGAGCAGCUGCUGGAACAGAGACCUGCAGAGCGAGGCGCACCGAGUCAGCGGAGGCCAGAGCCUCGCCUCACUUGCAAGCCCGCGGGGCCAGCCAGGGCCUCUUCUGCCUUCCUUCCGCAGGACUCACCAGGCGGCAGCAGAGGUCCACCAGGCCAGGUUAAGGAAGUCUGCAACGGUGGGCUGUGGAGAGGGGCAUGGCUGCACUGCUGCCUCUCCCCUUAGGCCGCCCCCAGCUGUCUGAUGUCACAGGAACACACCUGCGGGCCUCAGUGUGCGCCCACUUAGGCUGAGCUCCACGGCUGUGCUGACAAGGACGCCCACGGUGUCGUUCUCCAGUUCCAGCGGCCUUAACAAGGCUGAGUGCCACAUUUGAGAGGGGCCUUGGAGAACACAGCCUAGCUUUGCCUGAGCAGCCAGGAUGCUGAGGCUUCCCACCUGCUGCUGGGUACCCUGG
Chinchilla lanigera (long-tailed chinchilla) is the source of this 526-nucleotide long non-coding RNA. RefSeq lists it as uncharacterized. Lineage: Eukaryota; Metazoa; Chordata; Mammalia; Rodentia; Chinchillidae. The transcript has 3 exons. The record is from RefSeq and is a predicted model, not a curated record.